GCGGAUGUGGUGGAACUGGUAGACACGCCAGACUUAGGAUCUGGUGCCGCGAGGCGUGGGGGUUCGAUUCCCUUCAUCCGCA
Molecule: transfer RNA, 82 nt
Filed under: Moheibacter sp.
Lineage: Bacteria; Pseudomonadati; Bacteroidota; Flavobacteriia; Flavobacteriales; Weeksellaceae
Also listed under: 2 other names
Description: tRNA-Leu
Rfam family: tRNA
About the family: Transfer RNA (tRNA) molecules are approximately 80 nucleotides in length.
Source: RNAcentral